UACGUAGGGUGCAAGCGUUAAUCGGAAUUACUGGGCGUAAAGCGUGCGCAGGCGGUUAUAUAAGACAGAUGUGAAAUCCCCGGGCUCAACCUGGGAACUGCAUUUGUGACUGCAAGGCUAGAGUACGGCAGAGGGGGAUGGAAUUCCGCGUGUAGCAGUGAAAUGCGUAGAUAUGCGGAGGAACACCAAUGGCGAAGGCAAUCCCCUGGGCCUGUACUGACGCUCAUGCACGAAAGCGUGGGGAGCAAACAGG
Molecule: ribosomal RNA, 253 nt
Filed under: uncultured bacterium
Lineage: Bacteria
Description: partial 16S ribosomal RNA
Rfam family: Bacterial small subunit ribosomal RNA
Source: RNAcentral